Picea glauca (white spruce) is the source of this 45-nucleotide non-coding RNA. The record is from Rfam. Lineage: Eukaryota; Viridiplantae; Streptophyta; Pinopsida; Pinales; Pinaceae.
AUAAUGGUGUCUUUAGACACCACCUGUUUUAUUUGAAGGUUAUUC